Molecule: ribosomal RNA, 465 nt
Filed under: uncultured bacterium
Lineage: Bacteria
Description: partial 16S ribosomal RNA
Rfam family: Bacterial small subunit ribosomal RNA
Source: RNAcentral
GACGAACGCUGGCGGCGUGCUUAACACAUGCAAGUCGAACGGAAAGGCCCCUUCGGGGGUACUCGAGUGGCGAACGGGUGAGUAACACGUGAGUAACCUGCCCUUGACUUCGGGAUAACUUCAGGAAACUGGGGCUAAUACCGGAUAGGAAUCCUUGCUGCAUGGUGGGGGUUGGAAAGCUUCGGCGGUUUUGGAUGGACUCGCGGCUUAUCAGCUUGUUGGUGGGGUAGUGGCUUACCAAGGCUUUGACGGGUAGCCGGCCUGAGAGGGCGACCGGCCACAUUGGGACUGAGAUACGGCCCAGACUCCUACGGGAGGCAGCAGUGGGGAAUAUUGCACAAUGGGCGGAAGCCUGAUGCAGCAACGCCGCGUGCGGGAUGGCGGCCUUCGGGUUGUAAACCGCUUUCAGCAGGGGCGAAGCUUGUGGUGACGGUACCUGCAGAAGAAGCACCGGCUAACUACGUG